UACAGAGGGUGCAAGCGUUAAUCGGAAUUACUGGGCGUAAAGCGUGCGCAGACGGUCUCGUAAGUCGGGUGUGAAAUCCCCGGGCUCAACCUGGGAAUUGCAUUCGAAACUGCGAGGCUAGGGUACGGAAGAGGGAAGCGGAAUUUCUGGUGUAGCGGUGAAAUGCGUAGAUAUCGGAAGGAACACCAGUGGCGAAAGCGACUUCCUGGUCCAGCAUCGACGUUCAGGCACGAAAGCGUGGGGAGCAAACAGG
RNAcentral lists this ribosomal RNA (253 nucleotides) under uncultured bacterium. Its description in RNAcentral is "partial 16S ribosomal RNA". It matches the Rfam family "Bacterial small subunit ribosomal RNA", at positions 524 to 776 of the family's 1533-position model. The record is from RNAcentral.